Molecule: ribosomal RNA, 486 nt
Filed under: uncultured bacterium
Lineage: Bacteria
Description: partial 16S ribosomal RNA
Rfam family: Bacterial small subunit ribosomal RNA
Source: RNAcentral
GAUGAACGCUAGCGGCAGGCUUAACACAUGCAAGUCGAGGGGCAGCGCGGGAUAGCAAUAUCCUGGCGGCGACCGGCGGAAGGGUGCGUAACGCGUGAGCGACAUGCCCGUUGCCCGGGGACAACCGGUGGAAACGCCGACUAAUCCCCGAUGGGAUAUUGUGCCGCAUGGCACGAUAUUGAAAGUUACGGCGGCGACGGAUUGGCUCGCGUCCGAUUAGCUGGUUGGCAGGGUAACGGCCCACCAAGGCUGCGAUCGGUGGGGGUUCUGAGAGGAAGGCCCCCCACAAUGGGACUGAGACACGGCCCAUACUCCUACGGGAGGCAGCAGUGAGGAAGAUUGGUCAAUGGGCGGAAGCCUGAACCAGCCAUGCCGCGUGCGGGAAGGAGGCCCUAUGGGCUGUGAACCGCUUUUGCCUGGGGGCAAUAAGGGCGUCGCGCACGUCCGAUGAGAGUACCAGGCGAAUAAGCAUCGGCUAACUCCGUG